This 465-nucleotide ribosomal RNA is filed under the name uncultured bacterium. Its description in RNAcentral is "partial 16S ribosomal RNA". It matches the Rfam family "Bacterial small subunit ribosomal RNA", at positions 28 to 507 of the family's 1533-position model. The record is from RNAcentral.
GACGAACGCUGGCGGCGUGCUUAACACAUGCAAGUCGAACGGAAAGGCCCCUUUGGGGGUACUCGAGUGGCGAACGGGUGAGUAACACGUGAGUAACCUGCCCUUGCCUUCGGGAUAACUUCAGGAAACUGGGGCUAAUACCGGAUAGGAAUCCUUGCUGCAUGGUGGGGGUUGGAAAGCUUCGGCGGGUUUGGAUGGACUCGCGGCUUAUCAGCUUGUUGGUGGGGUAGUGGCUUACCAAGGCUUUGACGGGUAGCCGGCCUGAGAGGGCGACCGGCCACAUUGGGACUGAGAUACGGCCCAGACUCCUACGGGAGGCAGCAGUGGGGAAUAUUGCACAAUGGGCGGAAGCCUGAUGCAGCAACGCCGCGGGCGGGAUGACGGCCUUCGGGUUGUAAACCGCUUUCAGCAGGGGCGAAGCUUGUGGUGACGGUACCUGCAGAAGAAGCACCGGCUAACUACGUG